CAGAUUGGUCCCAAUCGUUAGAUACCCUAAUUAGAAUAAUCUAUGGCGAUGGUAGAGAUUAUCAGCAACGUGUGGCGUAAAUGGCUGGGAGCAUGAAACUUUGUGUAUCUACGGUGUAGCGAAAAUGAAUAAGCAAAAAAGCAAUUGGCAAAACUUUCGGGAAUUUGGCAGACGGAAAAUUACCGAUGGACCGCAUCACCGCCCCACACGACGUGCGACUGACACCUGUCCAGUCGCACGCGGUGGGGCGUUCCCGCGUGCGACGCUAACGUGACGGACGUUAGCCCCAAAAUCAACUCAAAAGUGCUGGAACGCGCCCCCUGAAGCUCUUUUCCCAUAUUCGCGCCCCUCCUGAAGCUCAAUUCAGAGGAGAGGCUCUGACCCCCGUUCUCUGCCCGAGCUCGGAUCUCCGCUCCCAUCUCCGGCACCGGCGAACGCUCCGGUCACCAGGUGUUGGACUGUUUUUCAUUUCAAGAAACCAAUGUGAAGAAAAAACUAAGGAGUGAUGCGCUAGCAUGUUAAGUAGUUUAUCAGUCAGGUUCAUUUUCUAAACAAUUCCAUCUGUUAAGGGACCCUCUUGAUUGACCAUGUCUUACUUCCCCGAAAUAUGUUUUGGCUAUGGUUAUGAACUCCAUCCACCUUAGGAAAAAACUACAGAAGGAGAAAGUAGUGCAGUGAUUGGCUAUGGCUACACAAAGCUGAAUUUUCUAACUUUAUUAUUAAUUUGUAUGCUUUGGUACAGAUACAGAAAGCUGAAUUUUCAAACACUUUAUUAUUAAUUUGUAUGCUUUGGUACAAAUGUUGUUUGGCUA
This is a long non-coding RNA of Nelumbo nucifera (sacred lotus), 812 nucleotides long. RefSeq lists it as uncharacterized. Lineage: Eukaryota; Viridiplantae; Streptophyta; Magnoliopsida; Proteales; Nelumbonaceae. The record is from RefSeq and is a predicted model, not a curated record.